Molecule: long non-coding RNA, 924 nt
Filed under: Phasianus colchicus (ring-necked pheasant)
Lineage: Eukaryota; Metazoa; Chordata; Aves; Galliformes; Phasianidae
Description: lncRNA (ENSPCLG00000022315.1)
Source: RNAcentral
UAGGAAGCAGACCCCCAGACCAGUGCUGUGGGAUGCAUAGACCCUUUUCUGCUUUACUGGUGUUUGUUGCCUUUACUGGCUCUGCCAUGCUGCGUUGGGCUUAGUGUGAUACAGCAUGGCAGGAAUUACUAGUGACAUAGUGAUAAGAAGAAAAUCUGAGACCCUAACAAAUGCUAGGAAAAAGGAAAUAGUGCAUUUUAUUAUUAUUUAUCUACAAUACUGAAGACUGAUGGCCACCACAGUCCUGGCCCUCAGAGCUAUACCACUGAUCGCCGUUGUCAGAGGGAAGACUCUGAAGGAGUUCACAUUGCCUUAGAGGAAGGCUGAGAUCAGUGAACCUGCUGUCAGGCUGGGCAUGGGUCAGACCAUCCAGACUUCUGUCAUCUACUGCUAGCUCUCCCUGAAGAAUUGACUGUCAUGAAUGUGACGAGUCCAUGCUCUGUCCAUGCAACCAUUCCCAUAGCUUCAAACAAGCAGUCUUAUUUUUCCAACAAAUUCUUCUGCCACAGAACUCCAUGUGAAGUCCUCUGCUGCAUCAUCAUCUGACUUGUAGCACGAUGGAGGAGUCUGGAGCUGGUUGUAGUUCAUGUCCCAUGUGGAAGCCAUCCUUGCAAGGCAGUGCCAGGCUCAGUGCACCCUUCUCUCUAAUCCUGGAGGAUCAGCUUGGCUCAGCUGCUGGCAGUAUUGUCGAUAAAUGCAGUAAACAACAGGCUGCUUUCUUACAGAACAAGUUAUAUGAAGUCGUCAUCCAUUUGGCGAGUAAGAUGGAGCAAGAACUCCUCCUCUGGGUUUGGUACCUCCUCUAAGCCUGUAGCCUGGCUCUGCACAUAGGAAACGGUUUCUUUGGCUCCAGAGUGACUUUGUUUGAAGCCAGUACUUCUUACAGCUGCACAGAGAUUUCUAUGGUCAAACGUAUUGAUAAAG